This 266-nucleotide ribosomal RNA is filed under the name uncultured archaeon. RNAcentral describes it as "partial 16S ribosomal RNA". It matches the Rfam family "Archaeal small subunit ribosomal RNA", at positions 717 to 982 of the family's 1478-position model. The record is from RNAcentral.
AGGUCACUGACAUUAGAUACCCCUGUAGUCCAGGGUGUAAACGCUGCAGACUUGGUGUUGGAGGCCCUUUGGGGGCAUUCAGUGCCGGAGAGAAGUUGUUAAGUCUGCUACUUGGGGAGUACGUCCGCAAGGAUGAAACUUAAAGGAAUUGGCGGGGGAGCACCGCAACGGGAGGAGCGUGCGGUUUAAUUGGAUUCAACACCGUAAAACUCACCAGGGAAGACUGUUACAUGAAGGCCGAGAUGAAGACUCUGCUAGAUUUUCAG